This 2786-nucleotide long non-coding RNA is filed under the name Mus musculus (house mouse). RNAcentral's name for it is "lincRNA-EC45". Lineage: Eukaryota; Metazoa; Chordata; Mammalia; Rodentia; Muridae. The record is from RNAcentral.
GCAUUGCUGAUGAAUAAUACAGGAUUUAUUUCUUGUUUAUGUCUACAGGUGGCAGUGUUGAAGCCGAAAGCUUCUAAAGAAGUGGUUUCAGAAAAAUUAAGAGUUGAAUGUAUAUGAGUAAGCAAACGUAGGAAUCCAAAAAACCACAGCCUGGGACAGAUCAAGCCUAGUACCUUUCCAGCACUUAAGAAGAGUUCAUGCCCAAUCGAUUCACUAUUCAUCUUGAUUCCAUCAUGAAGGAAUGAAAUGCAGAUAACUCGUUAGCAAACUUUUGUGGGAAAAAAGUGCCUUGUGCGAUCAGAACAAAGCCGUUUUAUAAUCAGAUUUACCAAGCUGAGAAGAGGGAGUUUCAGCAAAUGGAAGCUUCAGCUUUCUGUCACCAGGAAACACUGCGUUAUCCAGAAUCGGAAUUGUUAAAGCAUACUGACUACAACUGGAGACAAAAAUGGAACCUAAGAAAAUAAAAUCACUUGGGAAGGAUGUGAAUUCAUAUAUCUUUUCUCUUAAAGUUGUUUUGAAAAGUAAGUACUUGCCAUUCCUAAUUGUUUUUGUUUUGCUUUUUUUUUUUGUAAUCUGAUACUGAAAGCGUUGAUUUGUGCAUAAAGUAUAUAUAGUUACUGCCAUCUGGGAGUUUGCAUUUUAAGUGACAUGGCAUGGGUAAGAACAGACAUAAAACAUAUACACACCAUUAUAUAGACAACUAGACUAGAUCUAGCCUGACAACAAAUGGAGCUUGAUAUUCAUAGAUCUUACCUGAGUGGAUGUUAUUUCAUGAUAUCUGAACCCUUGUCCAAACUCUAUAUCAUCUGGCCUGACUAGCUAGUGAUGUAUUCCUGUUAACCUUUAUAUUCUUGUUUAGCAAGAGUCCCAUCUGCAUAAAAGAGUUACUUCUUUUGUCAUUUUGGUUUGGUUCAGCUGGGAGGGAUAGCAUCAUUGCUUCAGGCUGAAAUGGACUAAUCUGUUUCACUUGUGGGUAAGGAGAAACGAAUACUUUGAGAACAGUGUGGCGUGGGGGAGAAAGGACACAAUUGCUGCCUUUCAUCCUUCCCUGCCCUGGCUCAGGAUCCCAGUGUGGAAAUGGGGAUGCUUAGGACUUAAUGAGCACAUUUAUUUCCUUGGAUGAGUUGCAUAGGGAACCAAAAGGAAGAUGAAGAAAUGGACAUGUAGGAAGUAGGGAAGUCCUAGGGGAGUGAAGAACCCGUUGCUUUCAAGCCCAGGUGUCAGCCCUUUAUUCUCCCUGGUGGCUGGGACAUGCUGCCCCACCCCUGCUUCCAUCCUAUGAAUCAAGUGACUGCUUAGAACUGAGCACCACUUUGCUGAGUAACUGAGGAGAGUGAGGAAUUCAAGAAUGGCCUUUUAAGGCACCAUUUUGUAUGAAUCAUCCUGCGUACAUCUCUCUACUGAAUCUACUUCUAGAAAUAGAGAGCUACCUUCUUGUCUUGAAGACAACAGCACACAUUGUCUGUAAGCAUUGUGUUGUGCUCACUCCUUCCUCCGAGGCCUAAUCUCCUGUCCUUGGUCCUUCUUGUAUGUUCCCUGAAAUUUCCCUCUCCUGCCAUGUAAAUCCAGACAACUUUCUGCCUGCAUUCUAUUUCUGCCUUUGAAUUGAGUCUCUUCGAAACAAUUGUGUGGUGGCUGGGCACUGCAAAAUGAGUCAGUUCCUACAGUUUGGUUACAAGUUCUCAAAAAGUAUUUCAGAAUGUGGAUGUGGUCAGCAGAGUCAUUUUCCAGGCAUCUAAAAGGAAACCCACAUCAACUGUAACAAUUGAGCUCUGACCGGAUGGUGCCAUACAACAGAACCAAGGCCUAUUUUCUCUUAGAGCAAUGCCUAGAGCCAUACACGAAUUUAUCUGCUCCUAGCACAUCUUCAAUGGAAAGUCUUGUUCUUGUUUGCAGGUCACAUUUUAUUUGCCACCAUUUGAAAAACAAUGUGACACAGGUUUUAACCUUAUUUACUUUUGGAUGUUGGUCUGAAUUUGAAAAAUUAUUAAUUAUUUUUAUAAACUAGAAUCAGUGAGACUAGAGUAUGAUUAGUAGAUGACUUGAAGUAUGACUUAUGGAUGAAAAGUGGGUAAUUUUUCUGAGGAAUAACCAAGGGGCACUUUUAGAUAUCAUGUAGUACAUAGGAUUACCUCAUUUCCUAAUUAUGUUCUGGAUCUUUCAGCGUUGGUCAUAUAAAUAAUUAAAUUCUUUUCAAGCUUUGAAGAUGUUUCAAGCUCAUCAACAACAGAAUAUUUUAGCUUAGCAUGGGCUUUAGAAAAAUCUUUUGUGGCUAUUUACUUACUUGUGUACCAUAAGUUCUGUAAAAUCUGAUUGAGCUGGUCUUCAACCAUUCAUGAAAGCUGAUGACAUUUUCAAUAAUAAAAAAAAAAGCAAGAUUAAAACAUGAGCAAAGGGUCUCCACAGAUCCUUCACAGAAGAAGAUACCCAUAUUGGAGAUAAGUGCAUGAAGGUGUUCUACAUCAUUAUUCAUUGGGGAAAUAUAAGUAAUAACUACAUACUGUUUGAAUGGCUGAAAUGUAAAAAGACUGACCAGCAAGUAGAAGUUGAAGAUGCAGAGAUUUGGGGCUCUCGGUGACAUUUAGGAAGAAAUGUGAAAUGGUAGAAACAAUUUAGAAGACAAUUUAGCAAUUUCAUAAAAUGUCAGACACAUACUUACCAUGUGACCCAGAUGUCCUAUUUAGAGAGACAAGAAAGCAAUGUUGUAUGUGAAUGCCCAUAGCAAUUUUAUUAGUUAUAGUCAAAAACUAGAAAAGCACAAAUGUCCAACUGCAAGUUAAUGGGUG